Molecule: ribosomal RNA, 256 nt
Filed under: uncultured bacterium
Lineage: Bacteria
Description: partial 16S ribosomal RNA
Rfam family: Bacterial small subunit ribosomal RNA
Source: RNAcentral
UAAUACGGAGGGUGCAAGCGUUAUCCGGAUUCACUGGGUUUAAAGGGUGUGUAGGCGGGCAUUUAAGUCAGUGGUGAAAUCUCCGAGCUCAACUCGGAAACUGCCAUUGAUACUAUUUGUCUUGAAUAUCGUUGAGGUUGGCGGAAUAUAUCAUGUAGCGGUGAAAUGCUUAGAUAUGAUAUAGAACACCGAUUGCGAAGGCAGCUAACUAAGCGAUGAUUGACGCUGAGGCACGAAAGCGUGGGGAUCAAACAGG